GGUGUAGCCAAGCGGUAAGGCACUAGACUUUGACUCUAGCAUUUCGGCGGUUCGAAUCCUCCCAC
This 65-nucleotide transfer RNA is filed under the name mouse gut metagenome. It matches the Rfam family "tRNA", at positions 5 to 66 of the family's 71-position model. From Rfam's summary of the family: Transfer RNA (tRNA) molecules are approximately 80 nucleotides in length. Their secondary structure includes four short double-helical elements and three loops (D, anti-codon, and T loops). RNAcentral also lists the same sequence under 2 other names. The record is from RNAcentral.